CACACACACACACUGAACACACACACACACACACUGAACACACACACACACACACACACACACUAAACAGACACACACACACACACAACACACUAAACAGACACACACACUCUCACAAACACACACACACACUCACUAAACAGACACACACACACACACUCACUAAACAGACACACACACACUCACUAAACAGACACACACACACUAAACAGACACACACACACACACACUAAACAGACACACACACACUCACUAAUCACACACACACUCACUAAACACACACACACACACACACUGAAUGUAGCUGCGGUGAUUUGGUCUGAUCCUGUUGUAAUGACUCUAGCCCCGUCUGUUGUAACAAGUCUAGCGUCAGACCGGGGUUCAGAUCCCGCCAGUUACACACACACACACACACACACACACACAGACACACACACUCUCACUGAACACACACACAAGCCUUGUCUGAUUUUCAAGCAAAUUUAAAUCAGGACUGAGACUAGACCACUCAAUACGUGGUCAGAUGACACUGAUGCUACGCUACAGGACUGAGACUAGACCACUCAAUACGUGGUCAGAUGACACUGAUGCUACGCUACAGGACUGAGACUAGACCACUCAAUACGUGGUCAGAUGACACUGAUGCUACGCUACAGGACUGAGACUAGACCACUCAAUACGUGGUCAGAUGACACUGAUGCUACGCUACAGGACUGAGACUAGACCACUCAAUACGUGGUCAGAUGACACUGAUGCUACGCUACAGGACUGAGACUAGACCACUCAAUACGUGGUCAGAUGACACUGAUGCUACGCUACAGGACUGUUUUGCUAAAGUGAUGCCUUGGAACUGGGAAACAGAUACCGUAUUUUGGAAGAGUCGGAGGUCUCUGUCGUUGGCCCCAAAGGAACAAACAACUCUGCCCGGAAACAAGGGGACCCCCUGCCAUCUAAAGAAUUUACAACGAAACAGCUUACAAUCUGCCCGGAAACAAGGGGACCCCCUGCCAUCUAAACAAUUUACAACGAAACAGCUUACAAUCUGCCCGGAAACAAGGGGACCCCCUGCCAUCUAAACAAUUUACAACGAAACAGCUUACAAUCUGCCCGGAAACAAGGGGACCCCCUGCCAUCUAAACAAUUUACAACGAAACAGCUUACAAUCUGCCCGGAAACAAGGGGACCCCCUGCCAUCUAAAGAAUUUACAACGAAACAGCCCUACAACCAGCCACAGACAACAUUCUAGGAUGAAAAUAACUCAAGAGAGACGCAACUUAAAACAUUUACCAAGCAUCAGUCACACUGUCCUUAUUGUGGGCUCAUCUAUGAUCCCAACAUGUUUCUAUUAGCAAAGCAGAGAUCAUCCAGGACAUUGACUGUAUGAUCCCGCUACUCAUUAGUGAACACCCGACUGCUUCAGCCAACACUGUCCAUGAAGGGUCAAAUGAUAUUAAACUACAGGAAUCUGAGCAACUUAAAAAGGAUUUUAAAUCACUGAAUCAUACUGUACUUAAAUCAGGUAAACAUUAAUUCAGGUCCCGUCUCGUGGCCUUGGAAUUAUUCAUUUGAAUGUUAGAAGCUGGAUCCAGAAGUUAGAUUUGAUUGACAUAGUGGUUUCAUAAUCACAUGCUGACAUCCUGAUUAUAACUGUUACACCCUGAUCUGUUUCACCUGUCCUUGUGCUUGUCUCCACCCCCUCCAGGUGUUACACCCUGAUCUGUUUCACCUGUCCUUGUGCUUGUCUCCACCCCCCUCCAGGUGUUACACCCUGAUCUGUUUCACCUGUCCUUGUGCUUGUCUCCACCCCCCUCCAGGUGUUACACCCUGAUCUGUUUCACCUGUCCUUGUGCUUGUCUCCACCCCCUCCAGGUGUUACACCCUGAUCUGUUUCACCUGUCCUUGUGCUUGUCUCCACCCCCUCCAGGUGUUACACCCUGAUCUGUUUCACCUGUCCUUGUGCUUGUCUCCACCCCCUCCAGGUGUUACACCCUGAUCUGUUUCACCUGUCCUUGUGCUUGUCUCCACCCCCCUCCAGGUGUUACACCCUGAUCUGUUUCACCUGUCCUUGUGCUUGUCUCCACCCCCCUCCAGGUGUUACACCCUGAUCUGUUUCACCUGUCCUUGUGCUUGUCUCCACCCCCUCCAGGUGUUACACCCUGAUCUGUUUCACCUGUCCUUGUGCUUGUCUCCACCCCCCUCCAGGUGUUACACCCUGAUCUGUUUCACCUGUCCUUGUGCUUGUCUCCACCCCCCUCCAGGUGUCACCCAUCUUCCCCACUUAUGUCUGUGCCAGUUCGUCUUGUUCGUCAAGCUUACCAGCGUUUGUCCUGUCAGCUCCUGUCUUUUCCCAGCCUCUCUUUUUCUCAUCCUCUGGGUUUUGACCCUUGCCUGUCCUGAGCCUGUACCCGCCUGCCUGACCACUCUGCCUGUCUCUGACCCUGAGCCUGUACCCGCCCGCCUGACCAUUCUGCCUGUCCCUGAGCCUGUACCCGCCCGCCUGACCACUCUGCCUGUGCUGACCCUGUACCCGCCCUGCCUGCCUUGUCAUUUGCCUGCCCCUGUUACAAUAAACAUUGUUACUUCA
Long non-coding RNA from Oncorhynchus keta (chum salmon), 2585 nucleotides. RefSeq lists it as uncharacterized. The transcript is spliced from 3 exons. Lineage: Eukaryota; Metazoa; Chordata; Actinopteri; Salmoniformes; Salmonidae. The record is from RefSeq and is a predicted model, not a curated record.